Molecule: non-coding RNA, 381 nt
Organism: Sorex araneus (European shrew)
Lineage: Eukaryota; Metazoa; Chordata; Mammalia; Eulipotyphla; Soricidae
Source: the annotation of a RefSeq genome assembly
AUGGCCUGGGCUGUGUUUCUCCUCACUCUCCUCACCCAGGCCACAGGUUCUUGGGAAACCCAAUAUGCCCUGACUCAGCCUUCCUCCUUGUCUGAGGCUCUUGGACAAACGGUCACCAUCUCCUGUGAUGGAAGCAAAAGUGACAUUGGCUUUUACUUAUAUAGUGUCUCCUGGUACCAACAGCAGCCAGGAACACCUCCCAAACUCUUGGUUUAUGGUACAAGUUCUCGGCCUUCAGACAUCCCUGAUCGCUUCUCUGGCUCCAGGUCGGGCAACACAGCGACACUGACUAUCUCUGGACUCAAGCCUGAGGACGAGACUGAUUAUUACUGUUGCUCACGCAGAAGUGAUAACACUUUCCACAGUGGCUGUUUUUCAUAA